This is a long non-coding RNA of Carcharodon carcharias (great white shark), 313 nucleotides long. RefSeq lists it as uncharacterized. The transcript is spliced from 3 exons. Lineage: Eukaryota; Metazoa; Chordata; Chondrichthyes; Lamniformes; Lamnidae. The record is from RefSeq and is a predicted model, not a curated record.
UGGCUUCAGUUACUCUGUGCCCCGAAGUCACUGCUCUGGUGCUCCUCCCUCUGAGUCAGCUCCCUAGAUACAAGGCCGCAAGACAUUUUUCAGGAUGGUAGGAACCAACAGGAGAAGGGCGUCAUUCUGUUCUCCACUGGGGGUUUUGAGUGUCUGUCUGGAGUAUCUGACUGUAACUGCAGUUCAAAACGUACAAACAAACAAACAGCUCUCCCCCCUCAAGUACGAUGCUGCUCAGAUGAUUUCUUGGCAAAGGCAUUGUUGCUCCCCGGCCAAAGGUGAACUUAUGACUUUUCUGUAAAAUAAAAAUCAA